UACGUAGGGUGCGAGCGUUGUCCGGAAUUAUUGGGCGUAAAGAGCUCGUAGGCGGUCUGUCGCGUCGAUCGUGAAAACUUGGGGCUUAACCCUGAGCUUGCGGUCGAUACGGGCAUGACUGGAGUUCGGCAGGGGAGACUGGAAUUCCUGGUGUAGCGGUGAAAUGCGCAGAUAUCAGGAGGAACACCAAUGGCGAAGGCAGCUCGCUGGGACGUAACUGACGCUGAGACGCGAAAGCGUGGGGAGCAAACAGG
RNAcentral lists this ribosomal RNA (254 nucleotides) under uncultured bacterium. Its description in RNAcentral is "partial 16S ribosomal RNA". It matches the Rfam family "Bacterial small subunit ribosomal RNA", at positions 524 to 776 of the family's 1533-position model. The record is from RNAcentral.